This 77-nucleotide ribosomal RNA is filed under the name Bacillus subtilis. Its description in RNAcentral is "partial 16S ribosomal RNA". It matches the Rfam family "Bacterial small subunit ribosomal RNA", at positions 1 to 77 of the family's 1533-position model. Lineage: Bacteria; Bacillati; Bacillota; Bacilli; Caryophanales; Bacillaceae. RNAcentral also lists the same sequence under 8 other names. The record is from RNAcentral.
UUAUCGGAGAGUUUGAUCCUGGCUCAGGACGAACGCUGGCGGCGUGCCUAAUACAUGCAAGUCGAGCGGACAGAUGG